GAGAUAGAAGAAAAGAAAAGAAAAUGGAGGAGAGACAGAGACAGGACAAUUUAGUGUAAUGAUGCAUUUCUCUUCGGUGGAAAUGCACCGCGAGCAACAAGAUCAACAGAUUGAUCCAAAACCGAUACAACACUACUACUAUUAUGAUGUCUAACGUCUUUGAACGAGAGACAUGACUCUUUUUUGUAGAUAGGUUACGAAGGAGAAAAAGUAAUCUAGAUUAGAUAAUUAAUACGCAACAAGGAAAAACAAAGUUAAACGGUAACAGAAAAAAAAACAAAACAACCAAUACAUAUUAUUUACAUUACUUAGAAUUAACCGGGGAAUAAGUAGAGGUUCUAGUGAUGAGAUGAAAAAAAAGAAUAUUCAGAUAAUGAUAUAUAGUGCAUACACUACAUUAUAAAUAGUGUGAUUAUAAAGGAAGAAAAAAAUGAAAUGACAGAAACAAAGAAAGCGAGAACAGACACCAAACGAAAAAAUAGCGCGUAACUCUCAUUACACGAGUCGUAAGAAGAAGAAAACAACAAAAGAUAAAAAAUAUACCAAGCGUAAUGGAUAAGUAAGUUGCUCAUGUGUAUAUUUUUGUAAAUAGGUAUUUGCGAGUGCCGCCGCCUUGAGGGUGACCUGUCGACGUUUAAAACGGACGCGACAGGCCGGCCCGCCCCAAUUUUUGCUACCACAAAUGUUAUCGAAAAUCAAGAAAUUUCUGGUAAAAAGAAAAGAUAAAAAUAUUAAAAUACACAUACACAAGAUAUUACAUGUCCACCGAAUUUGUCCUAGAAGUUUUUUCCGAAGUCCAAUUCUUCAGAAAUGAUUGUAUUAUGUUAAAUUUUUUUUUUGUACAUAUAUACAUUUUAUUAUCGCUCGUAUUAUUAUUACUAUUCUUUUAUUGUUGUAUCUUUUACGUUCGAUUCAAUUGACCACCCUUCAUCCGCCUCUCGCGAAUCGGUUAUCGUAUUUGUUCGAUACGCUUCCUUUUCUUUUCGUUGUUCCGUCACCGACAAAAUGAAACAAAAGAACGAAAAAAGAAAAAGAAGAAAAACCGUUAUGUCGCAAGAUACGCACGCAAUUUAGUGUUUUUCCUAUGUUUUCGCAGCUAUGAGAAUGUAGGCUUAAAAGUAUACGAGGAUCGAGUGUAAAAGGAAGAGAGAAGUGAAAAGAUAAACGUUUUACCUUUCUCGAUAAAACGGCGAAUUCGAUUUGAUCAGACCAUUGUAACGAGACGAGAGCAGGAAGAAAAUAGCAAGUGGAAACGUGUUAGCAGUGAAUUGCCUAGCGAGCGAGCAUUCAACUGGGAGUUAAUAAAUCGUUCUUCGGACCAGGAUCGUAACGAGCAAUUUAUCUCGACAAUUAGUUAAAACAUAUCGAAAUUGAAUCGAAUUAAAUUCCAAAACUCCCGGGAGCCUUUCCGUUAGAGUUUCUAAUAAUAAUACGGAACGUGAGAGAUGUUGGACCAAUCUAUAAUCCGUAGAGACGUUUGAUCAUAAUGCGCUGUCGGUCAAUUAAUUGCUAACGCUUUCCUACGAGUAGGGUGCAAGUAAAAAGGAAAAAUAAAUGAACGAACGAAUGAAAAGAAAGAAAAGAGGAACGAAAGAAGCAAACACGGCGGAAAAAAUGCUGGAACCGUGACAAAGGGAUCGAACACGAGUUGACGAGACUUAGGGGGGCCCAUAUAGAGUUACUUAGCGCGGUCCAAUGGUUCACGGGAUACAAUUUUAUACCUCGUGUGCGCGUGCACACGGACUGAAGGAUAAAAGAAACUAAAAAAAGAGGUCUAUUAAAAAAAAAAAGUUUUGAUAUUUUCGAGACACAUAUUUAUAGUGGAUACGUAUAAUAUCAGGCCUUUCGCUCUCGUCAGCUCGUGCUGUGAAAACGUAAAGACGAAUACGCGAUACAAUGCACACGUAUAUUAAUAUAUACAGAUGUGUAGGUCGAGAAUUUUGAACGAAAUUUGCAACACGUAUAAUUCGGCUGUUGUAAUGAAAUCGAACGUGUCCGCGCUUUUAUCGAGAAAUUAAGAAAAGUUGAUCGAUCUAGCAUAAGUACUCGAUCCAAAACCACCCUCCCCAACCACGAAAUACAAGAAUGGACUGAUCGACAGGCUUAAUACGAGCAAUGAAAGAAAAAAAAGAGCAUUAACCAUUGAAGAAUCCUUUAGUUGUUACUUAAGCUAACUUAACCACUUAACCUUUACCGCUUUGAUAGGAAUGGAAAUGAAUUUGAAGAACAGGAUCGGGGAGCAGUGAGACCGUGUUACGUGGGUGUGCGAAUGCGUCGAUCCGAUCGUUCGAUCUUUUGACCCGUACGGUUCGUGAACGUACGCAACAUCGUUUUCCCGGUCUCGACGAACGACGUUCACGAUUGUCAGGCGAUCUGUGGGGAACUGCCACGCACAAUUCCGCGAUCGACCAGAUUGGAUUCUAACUUUCUCGUUUACCGAUCGUAACAUCUUUGUUAACAUUUUGCACAUAGCGAAAAUUAUAAGGUAGCGACGCAGUUGCAACGAAGCUCUCCAAUUGCUUCGACCGCAAAGGUUCGAUCGACAGAAUCUUUCCGGGAACGAGAGAAAACGGAGGAGAAAAUGCGACGUUAAGAAAGCAUCGAAGGAUAAGAAACAGAGAACAAGUUUGCUAGUAAAUUUUGACAGAAAAAUUGUACAGGUCGUCGUGUUCGCAGCAUUCGGUCGGAGUUCGGGGAACGAAUGCUGAGAUCUAUGGUCGAUCGCGCGAUUCCAGGGCAGAGGUCUUCUCUUUCUUUCCGCUUUGUUGGAUCUUGUUCGAAGGAAAACGCGAAGAUCGCGAUUGCGAAGCGAAAUAAUAUCGGUUUAUGUCGGACAGAUUCGCCUCGAGACCGAUCUGAUACGCGCUAACGAGCUACGGUUAGGGACGGGGGAGAAAGGAAAGGAAUGAAAGGAAACGAGAAUGAAACAGAACGGGGAAGAAGAAAGACCGUGACAAUAUAUACAUAUAUACAUAUAUAUACAUAUAUAUAUCGAUAUAUUUGCGAGAUAUUUUGCGAGCAGGGCUUUUUUAUCUAUUUUAUAGUAACCUCAGCUUAAGCGGAUUGAGAGGGAGGGAGAGAGUGAGAUUGUUUUGCUAAACGAGAGAAACAAAAGAAAACGCAAACACGGCGAUUCAAACGAGAGAAUAAAGAAUGGAGAGAAAAAUAGGAGUGCAGAGACAAUGAGAGGAGGAAAAAUAUAAUUGCAACAAAAUGGAUAGGAGAGAAGGGGAGAGAGAUAUAAUGCGCAGCUGACAAACGGUUUGUAAAUUGCGUACAUAAAAGAUAGAUAAAUAACCGUUGACUAAAAGAAAAGUGAUGACGGUUUUACUAUGUCGUAUACUCUACGUUUUGUUUGUUUUGCGCCUUUGGCUUGCAUUACAAUUAAUUUGAUUAUUAUAAUAAUAAUGAUAAUUAUUAUUAUUA
Bombus impatiens (common eastern bumble bee) is the source of this 3426-nucleotide long non-coding RNA. RefSeq lists it as uncharacterized. The transcript has 2 exons. The record is from RefSeq and is a predicted model, not a curated record. Lineage: Eukaryota; Metazoa; Arthropoda; Insecta; Hymenoptera; Apidae.